Non-coding RNA from Vicia faba (fava bean), 228 nucleotides. The record is from the annotation of a GenBank genome assembly. NCBI's taxonomy places the organism in Eukaryota, Viridiplantae, Streptophyta, Magnoliopsida, Fabales, Fabaceae.
AUGCCCUCUUCCAUGUUGAAUGCUCCUUUGGGUAGUAUUAUUCAUGUGAUGUCUAUAAAAAUUGUUUUGGUAAGUGAACACUUGUUGUCUUAUAUUGUCAGUCAAGUUGGUUGGCAUGAUGAAAUUCUCCACAUGAAGUCGUUGAUUCACAUAAUACCACAAACACUGCAACAACACUCGCCGGACCGAAAAGUGAUCCCAUUUCCACCGCGUUGUAAAGAUGAUUGA